GCAGAUAACCAAGAGGCGCGACUUGCUGCGAUUGAGGCAUCCUUGGCAGAAUUGAGGGAGAUAAUCGGAUAGCUGACCCUGCAGCAGGGAAUCCACCAACCCGCCGCCGCCGCACACCCCCAACCAAUCGCCAAUCCUGUGGCCGCCAAUCUUGUGGCCGCCAAUCCUAAGGUCACCUAUGUGGUGAAGAAAAUCUUAUGUUCAACAAAACAGGAGGAUGAGACGCAAAGGAGGAAGAUUUUCCAGGCAAAGUGUCGAGUAGGAGAGGC
This 269-nucleotide long non-coding RNA is filed under the name Manihot esculenta (cassava). RNAcentral's name for it is "long non-coding RNA (MESC_LNC006644)". The record is from RNAcentral. Lineage: Eukaryota; Viridiplantae; Streptophyta; Magnoliopsida; Malpighiales; Euphorbiaceae.